UAGGGAAUCUUCCGCAAUGGGCGAAAGCCUGACGGAGCAACGCCGCGUGAGUGAUGAAGGUCUUCGGAUCGUAAAACUCUGUUAUUAGGGAAGAACAAAUGUGUAAGUAACUAUGCACGUCUUGACGGUACCUAAUCAGAAAGCCACGGCUAACUACGUGCCAGCAGCCGCGGUAAUACGUAGGUGGCAAGCGUUAUCCGGAAUUAUUGGGCGUAAAGCGCGCGUAGGCGGUAUUUUAAGUCUGAUGUGAAAGCCCACGGCUCAACCGUGGAGGGUCAUUGGAAACGGGAAAACUUGAGUGCAGAAGAGGAAAGUGGAAUUCCAGGUGUAGCGGUGAAAUGCGCAGAGAGAUGGAGGAACACCAGGGGCGAAGGCGACUUUCUGGGCUGUAACUGACGCUGAUGUGCGAAGGCGUGGGGAUCAAACAGG
This 429-nucleotide ribosomal RNA is filed under the name Actinomycetes bacterium. RNAcentral describes it as "Actinobacteria bacterium partial 16S ribosomal RNA". It matches the Rfam family "Bacterial small subunit ribosomal RNA", at positions 355 to 776 of the family's 1533-position model. The record is from RNAcentral. Lineage: Bacteria; Bacillati; Actinomycetota; Actinomycetes.